Molecule: ribosomal RNA, 468 nt
Filed under: uncultured bacterium
Lineage: Bacteria
Description: partial 16S ribosomal RNA
Rfam family: Bacterial small subunit ribosomal RNA
Source: RNAcentral
GACGAACGCUGGCGGCGUGCUUAACACAUGCAAGUCGAGCGGAAAGACCCUGCUUUUGUGGGGUGCUCGAGUGGCGAACGGGUGAGUAACACGUGAGUAACCUGCCCUUGACUGUGGGAUAUCUUCAGGAAACUGGGGCUACUACCGGCUAGGAGAUCCUGCAGCAUGGGGGGGGUUGGAAAGUUUAGGCGGUUGUGGAUGGACUCGCGGCUUAUCAGCUUGUUGGUGGGGUAGUGGCUUACCAGGGCUUUGACGGGUAGCCGGCCUGGGAGGGUGACCGGCGACAUUGGUACUGAGGUACGCACCAGACUCCUACGUGAGGCAGCAGGGGAGAAUAUGGCACAAUGGGCGGAAGCCUGAUGCAGCAACGCCGCGUGCGGGAUGACGGCCUUCUGGUGGUAAACCGCUUUCGCCUGUGACGAAGCGGGAGUGACGGUAAUGGGUAAAGAAGCACCGGCUAACUACGUG